GGGAGGGCGCCUCAUUCCUCCUGCUUUCUCAGCAGCCUAUGAGAUGAUUUAUUGGAGCUCAGAGUUCUGGG
Camelus ferus (Wild Bactrian camel) is the source of this 71-nucleotide long non-coding RNA. It matches the Rfam family "Ghrelin opposite strand RNA conserved region". The record is from Rfam. Lineage: Eukaryota; Metazoa; Chordata; Mammalia; Artiodactyla; Camelidae.